GUAGCAGCCAUCACGGUGUGCACGCUUUUAUUUAUAAGCAUAGUUCAUAAACCAAAUAAGGGGGAAGAACACCUUUAAUCAAUGUUCCCAUGAGAAGCUUGCUGCGGGAACGUUAAAUACCGGUGGCCAAGCAUGCAAUCAACAUAGUUUAGAUAUCUCAUCUAACGUAAUUUAUGCGUAUCAAAAUGUCUUUUAGGCAGGGUGCUUUGAAAUUUGAUGAGUGUCUUGCACUAAAUGGAACGUUUAAAAUGAGUUAUGUUCCUGUGUUACAGACGGAGGGUCCUAAAAGUAACCCUCUCUUUUUAGUUGAACCACAAAAACAAUAGAAUAAUAGCUCCUGCCCCACUAUUAAUGCAAAUUAGCGGACUGCUUUUCUUGGUUAACUAUUGGCUGUUAGACAUAUAAACUUUCACAUCCGACCUCACCAUUGGUUAAAGGUAGAUCCUCAUCCCCAAGGCACGUUGACAGAUCUGUGAACAUUUUAGCCUAUCAUAAGCCGUUUUAUUGUAAAAAGAGAAGAGAUAUAAAAGCAAUGUGUGAAAACGUUAUCUCCCCCCCACACACACAUUUUUUUUUGAGUGAGGCGCAUUUAAUAGUUUUUGCGUCAUAACGUCGGGCCGAGGUAAGCAGGGAGGUAAAGUACGGGCUCUUGGGCUGCAGUUUCCAGUGGGCCGUGUAUACCGUCUGCUUCAGAAAGGUCGCUAUGCGGAGCGGAUAUUCCGACUGAAGAUAAGCACACUAGCCUAUUUUACAGUUUCAAAGUAAUUUAAUGUUAUUUGUAUUUUCCCUUAAAAAGUAACUUUUUAAAAUGUAUCAAGCAAAUAAUUUGCUAAAUAUUGUUUUGUAUUUUAGUCUCUUUUUACAGCAUUAUUGAUUAAAACAACAAUUAAGGUACAGUGUUGUAGUAUAAACAUAAACUAUAGGGAUACCAUUAUCUAGAGAUGAAAAUUCAGUUAAUAAAUUAUUUUUUUCUAUUUAAUUUAAUGUUAUAUAAAGGUGGCUUCUUUAAAGCGUAUAAUUAAUGAUAACACUUUAUUUAGUUGUCUGAAUUGCAGGAGACUGUUGUAUAUGUUCUGUAGCACUAAUAUAAUAUGACUCAUUUUGAUGCCUUUUUAACAGCUAAAGGGAACUUUAAAUCUCUCUUUCUGUAUAUCUUCUCAGAGCCAAUCACUUCAGAAAAGGACUGAAUUAUCUGUAACCUACUUUGCACUCACAACAAAGGAAUGAAACUUUAUGUUCUCUUUGCAUUCCAGAAUAACAGUUCUCACUUCUUGUGAUGAUCUUGGGUUUAAGCUGGUGACAACUAGCCCACAAAUCAUAUCCUAAAAAAGCAGAAAGAAGCUGAUUCUGUGACAGAAGAUAAUAUAAUGUGAAAGAUAAAAUUAAGGCAUCAUAUACUAUUUGAUUAGCCUGUAACAGCUAAUAAGCAAGUGUCGACUUAAAUAUCCAGGGAAGAUUCUGGUAAUAAUGUCA
Molecule: long non-coding RNA, 1473 nt
Organism: Chelonia mydas (Green sea turtle)
Lineage: Eukaryota; Metazoa; Chordata; Testudines; Cheloniidae
Exons: 2
Source: RefSeq, a predicted model, not a curated record